This 478-nucleotide ribosomal RNA is filed under the name uncultured bacterium. RNAcentral describes it as "partial 16S ribosomal RNA". It matches the Rfam family "Bacterial small subunit ribosomal RNA", at positions 28 to 523 of the family's 1533-position model. The record is from RNAcentral.
GACGAACGCUGGCGGCAUGCCUAACACAUGCAAGUCGAGCGAGCAGAUCCCUUCGGGGUGAAGCUAGCGGCGGACGGGUGAGUAACACGUGGGCAACCUGCCUCAUAGAGGGGAAUAGCCUUCCGAAAGGAAGAUUAAUACCGCAUAAGAUUGUAGCUUCGCAUGGAGCAGCAAUUAAAGGAGCAAUCCGCUAUGGGAUGGGCCCGCGGCGCAUUAGCUAGUUGGUGAGGUAACGGCUCACCAAGGCGACGAUGCGUAGCCGACCUGAGAGGGUGAUCGGCCACAUUGGGACUGAGACACGGCCCAGACUCCUACGGGAGGCAGCAGCGGGGAAUAUUGCACAAUGGAGGAAACCCUGAUGCAGCAAUGCCGCGUGAGUGAUGACGGCCUUCGGGUUGUAAAGCUCUGUCUUCGGGGACGAUAAUGACGGUACCCGAGGAGGAAGCCACGGCUAACUACGUGCCAGCCGCCGCAGUAA